Molecule: unclassified non-coding RNA, 2635 nt
Filed under: Leishmania donovani
Lineage: Eukaryota; Euglenozoa; Kinetoplastea; Trypanosomatida; Trypanosomatidae
Description: gene:LdHU3.18.0590(CDS-product:paralyzed_flagella _protein_20)
Source: RNAcentral
UGCGAACACGGGAACGUGAAGGGCCGUAUCGUCAUUGUCGAGGGUGGCGUACGUCCCACACUGCUUCUCUUACCCCCUCCCUCCUCCCUUCCCCUUUCCCACAGACGCGCAGGCGCGCUCAUCCAUAGAGGGUGGCGUACGCCCCCGCCGAGGCAUUAGCUUUCCCUCCCCUUCUCUCGCUCAAGCGGCCCUUGCUAAAGCCGAACGAUCACGAGGUCGCAUAUAUGAGCCGCACAACCUCAACCGACUUCGUCACGGAAGCGGGUGGGCGCCCGUUCUCCAGCCCCGGCGCAAGCCCGAUGGAAGCCAUGCAAAACGCUGAAGACAUGGACCUGGACACCCUCCGGCGCUCCGUCCAGGUGCAGAAGCAGCUUGAUGUCCCUCCACCGCCCACAGCGCAGCUGCUGCGGGUGCCAGAGGUGAUGGAUGACUUUGUUCGCAACUUCCUCCACCGUAAUGGCAUGACGCGCACCCUGCAAGCCUUUGAGAGUGAGUGGUAUGGCAAGGCUGGCGGCGGCACCGGCACCGUCAACGUCGCGCCUUCAAAUCCAAUGGUGCCGGAUAACUACCGCGAGACGAUGGUGCUGCAAAACCGCAUCGAGCUGCUGGAGCGCGAGCUGCGCCAGCACGCGGAGCUAAACACGCGCGUCACACAGCAGUGGACGCAGGCGAAGAAGGACCGUGAGUAUCAUCGCACAAGCCACCAGCGUGUAGUGCAGGAGAACGCGCGCCUCAGUCGACUGCUGAAGCAGGCAGGCCAACACGCCGAGCUGGUGAACCCGACAUUGACGGAGUCACGUAUUCGCUGCGAGCAGCUGCUGAAGGCAAAGUCGCUCUUGACGAUCGAGCGCGACAAGCUGCGCAGAGAAAAAGAGCAGCUCGAGACGAGGGUGGCGGAGCUGGAAGGACAGCAGCAGCAGGCAUCUGAGGGCGCCGCAACGGGACCCAAGCCCCCGGCUGCGACCCAGCGCGCUGGUGCCUGGAAGUCGUCGCACGCGAGCGGCAAGUCGAACGCGGCCGCGCAUCGAGGACUUGCGUCGUCGCCGUCUCCGGCGAGCACAAAGGCUGUCGAUGCGGAGGCGGACGGGUUUGUGUGGCCCCCUGAUGAUCGCCCACACCCUCCAGGGUCGACUGCUGCAAAGUCUUUUUCAGGCAACGCUGUUGAAGGACAGCCGAGCUUCGCGUCCUCUGAGUCCCCGGCUACGGAGUGGGUGGAGCAGUCGUUCUUUCAGGCUCACACGAUGGCGGUCACGAGUGUCGCGCUGCACCCCUUCAAGCCGGUCGUGGCGAGUGGCAGCGACGACGGCAGCUGGCGCCUCUCGACGCUGCCCACUGGCGACGCCAUUGUGUCUGGCCAGGGGCACAGCAACUGGAUCUCGUGCGUUGGCGUGCACCCGCGUGGCACAAUGCUCGCCACCGGCUCUGGCGACAAGACGGUCAAACUCUGGGACUUUGCAACUAGCCGCUGCGCCGCCACCCUUAGCGCCCACACCGACGGUGUCUGGGACCUCGAGUUCCAGGACACCGGCGUACUGCUGGCGAGCGCGGCGCUGGACAAGACGGCGCGUGUGUGGGACGUGGAGCGGGGCGUGUGCCGGCAAACACUGCGAGGGCACCAGGAUGCGGUGAACACCGUCAGUUGGCUGCCUUGUACGAACCUGCUGCUCACAGGCAGCGCCGAUAAGUGCGUUGCCGUCUGGGACGCCCGCCAAGGCACCAAGGUCCAGUCCUUCACUGGCCAUCGUGCCGCCGUGUUGUCCGUGGUGGCCGGGCCGGUGGGGAGCUCACUCUUCGCUUCGUGCGACACCCAAGGCGCCGUCACUCUCUGGGAUGCCCGUCGCAUGGCACAGCUUCUCCGCGUCGAAUGCGGACCGCAGUCGGCCAACUGCGUCGUGGUAGACGGCAUCGGCCACAACGUCGCGGUCGCCAGCGACGACGGUACCAUCAAGAUUAUCGAUGUGGAGGAGGCAGUGGUGACAGAGCUGAUGGGCCACGAGGGCCCGGUGCAGAGCGUGACGUUCGACCUCGCGAGCAAUCACUUCCUUGUCAGCGGUAGUAGCGACUGCACCAUCCGGUACUGGUGCUGAGGGCGCCGAGGCACCGAUGGCCGUGGUCGGCCGCGGCAUUUUCAAGUCUCACUCGCCAUGACUGUCGACGCAUGCACGUGCGACUCGAAGCCGUGCUAGACGCGCGAGCUGGAACCACGGGGGCGGGAGGGAGAGAGAUGUACAGUAGUGUCGGUGGCGAACGCUUCUUUUUGUGUUUUUUUUUUUCGGUGGCCUGCAUGUUGUUGGCAGGCGCGCCGUUGUGUGCUCGCAGGCCUGAAGCAAGGUGUAACGAUGGAGUGGUUGAUGGAGUGGCUCGCGAUGGGAUGCGCAGAGGGGGAGGGGGCAGGCUUUAGCGGAGGAGGGAGGCGCGUCAAGUGUCAGAGAACAUUCUGGAGCGUGAGAUAGCGCCGCAAGUGUUUGCGUGCCCUGCUCUGGUAGAGGUUACGCCCUUUCCCUUCUCUCCCUUCCGCGGCCAUCCCCGUGUCCCACCCCGGACGUCGACGCACCGCCCGCUUUCACUCCUUUGUGUGCUGGUGUGUAUGUACAUUUGCUGAGCUUCUGGCGUGCACAAGGCACACGCAGGAAAA